UGGGGAAUAUUGGACAAUGGGCGCAAGCCUGAUCCAGCCAUGCCGCGUGAGUGACGAAGGUCUUCGGAUUGUAAAGCUCUUUUGGCGGGGACGAUAAUGACGGUACCCGCAGAAUAAGCCCCGGCUAACUUCGUGCCAGCAGCCGCGGUAAUACGAAGGGGGCUAGCGUUGUUCGGAAUCACUGGGCGUAAAGCGCACGUAGGCGGAUUUGUUAGUCAGGGGUGAAAUCCCGGGGCUCAACCUCGGAACUGCCUCUGAUACUGCAAAUCUCGAGUCCGAUAGAGGUGAGUGGAAUUCCUAGUGUAGAGGUGAAAUUCGUAGAUAUUAGGAAGAACACCAGUGGCGAAGGCGGCUCACUGGAUCGGUACUGACGCUGAGGUGCGAAAGCGUGGGGAGCAAACAGGAUUAGAUACCCAUGUAGUCCCUGAGCGGGCUGGCAAGGCGCAU
Molecule: ribosomal RNA, 447 nt
Filed under: uncultured bacterium
Lineage: Bacteria
Description: bacterial SSU rRNA
Rfam family: Bacterial small subunit ribosomal RNA
Source: RNAcentral